This 67-nucleotide transfer RNA is filed under the name Macroscelides micus (Etendaka round-eared sengi). RNAcentral's name for it is "tRNA-Val". The record is from RNAcentral. Lineage: Eukaryota; Metazoa; Chordata; Mammalia; Macroscelidea; Macroscelididae.
CAAAGUGUAGCUUAUAUUAAAGCAUCUGGCCUACACCCAGAAGAUUUCAUACUUAUGACCGCUUUGA